AUGUCAGAUUGUAUGCUGCAGCAGGAGUCUGAUUCUAGCCUACACUGUUCCAGUUGGGAGCCAAGUGGCCCUCGGAGGCAGCGAUGGAAGGAGCAAUCUCUCCGGGUGGGGGCGAGACAGAGCCUGAACUAUAGGGGCCGACUUCUCCAAGAGGCUUUCGCCUUGCUCUGGGGCCUCAGGAAUGCCCCUUUCCCUCCCCUGCCCUCUGCUGCCCCGAGGAUCAAAGCUUGCCGGCUGCACAACCCGACUGACAGCGACUUUUCCCCUGGAUCCCACUGGCUCAAGUCUCACUGAGAUCCGGUUUCCACUUUCAGUAUCCCCCACCUUCCUCCCAAGGGAACCGCUAAGGUUUAUCAGACACACAGGUGGAAAAUCAGGUCGCUUUGCCCUGCUCCACCUCGGAAUUCGCAGACGGCCGGAGACCCCUGGGAGCAGGCAGGGAGGCUCGCCAUCCUGAGCUCUCGGCGGCGCCCCGAGUGGAUUGAAACACUUCCCCAAAGCUGUCUGACCGCGGGGAGGGGUCUUCCAGGGGCAGAACCGGCUGGCUCGGAGGACACCCUCCACCCUGCUCCUGCACACCCAAGGGCUCCACGUGCUUUCGAGUUCCCACUCCUGAACGCCAGCCAGUCCGUUUGAGCCGAGCGCCCAAGGUCAAGGACACCCCACACACAAACGCCAGACACCGAAAACAUUGGAUCCUGCCCACCCUACCCCGGCCGGGCACUGAGGGACCGGGACGGGACGCUGGCCACCACCUGCAGGCCCCUCCCGCCGCCCGCGCGCGCUCGCUGGGCUCCGCACUUGUUGACUCACUCGCGGGCGCGCUCGCCCCAGCGCCGCCUGCCGUCCGCACCUCCCGCGCCCCUCCCCCACCGGCCGCCCGCGCCCCGCGCCACUCCGCGCCCGGGACACACCCGGAGCCGCGCGAGGUACACCCUCCGCUCCGGGCUGUGGGCUAAAUCCCGGAGUAAGAGCGCGCCGGCGGAGCGGACCGCGGCGCUGUCCCGGGACAGCUCUCCUGCAGCCCGGAGUCUCCGGCAACGGAGAGAGAUAGAGGGCGGACAAACCUAGGAGGGCAGCUGGGCGCCAGGCCCUGCUCGCGCCCCAACGGUGCUCAGGAACGGUCCCCACCCCAGGUUCCAACAUCUACAGGAUCUGAGCCCUAGCUCCCGGACCAUCGCGUGCACGCGCUCUGGCCCCCAUCUUGGAGCCAAACACACACACACCGGGGCCCCGAGAGACUGGGCCCCAGAAAGGGGGGUGGCCCCACUUUAGCUACACUUACCUGGGGCUUCGCCCCAGCCGGGCGCGCUCCCUGGCUGCCCUCUGGCGGCCACCUCAGGUACCGGGCGCGCGCCCCGCCCCGGUCCGCCCCUCUCUGACCUGGGACCUGUUCCUGCCAACUGAAGAGCUCUGGCCUGAGGCCAUCUGAUAGGCACCAUCCCCCUUUAGAUGGCUCUUCUUGGCACGGAGUGGAUCUCGAGGGCUCCUUUUAGUUACAGAUAACGAACAGCUCCGUCUUUUCUUUAAGGAGCUUCAAGCCUCUUCUUAGCAACCCCAGGAGGCAAAAGAUAGGGCUUCUGGAAACCUAACACUAGCUGGUGCUCAAUGUGUGUUUGUGGAAUAAAUGACUGGAGGAGGCGAAUGGAUGCUACA
Molecule: long non-coding RNA, 1656 nt
Organism: Mus spicilegus (steppe mouse)
Lineage: Eukaryota; Metazoa; Chordata; Mammalia; Rodentia; Muridae
Source: Ensembl